UGCUAGGAGUGUGCAAGACUUACUAAAGAUGACAAUGAGAAACUUAACAUAUGCAGAAAUCAAAUGCAUAAAAGUGGUUGAUCCAUGUUGAUUACCUAUUAAGAAAGUUCAAGCAUGUCAAAUCAGAAUCAGGGUUCAUCCCAUGCUCCACUUUGCUACUCCACGCAAUGGCACAUAACAAUAAACCACAACCAAUUCCAGAAUAUAUCAUCCAAAUGCUAGCCCAAGUUAUUCUGACUAACAUUAGAUUAAGCCCUAGAGCAAUUUCAGCAGUUCAGUUAGGGCAUUAGAGACAGGGUUCAGAAUUCGUUUUGAUCCUCUUACAAUCUUUAGCACUUUCUCUAACAAUGGUAAGCAUUACAUUAGGUUAUCUGUCAACUACAUCAAACCCAGACCCCCCAUCCCG
This 406-nucleotide unclassified non-coding RNA is filed under the name Hevea brasiliensis (rubber tree). The record is from RNAcentral. Lineage: Eukaryota; Viridiplantae; Streptophyta; Magnoliopsida; Malpighiales; Euphorbiaceae.